GAGCCCGUAGCUCAGCUGGUAGAGCACCUCACUUUUAAUGAGGGUGUCGUGCGUUCGAGUCGCACCGGGCUCAC
RNAcentral lists this transfer RNA (74 nucleotides) under Endomicrobiia bacterium. RNAcentral describes it as "tRNA-Lys". It matches the Rfam family "tRNA". Rfam says of the family: Transfer RNA (tRNA) molecules are approximately 80 nucleotides in length. Their secondary structure includes four short double-helical elements and three loops (D, anti-codon, and T loops). Lineage: Bacteria; Pseudomonadati; Elusimicrobiota; Endomicrobiia. The record is from RNAcentral.